This 524-nucleotide ribosomal RNA is filed under the name Escherichia coli. RNAcentral describes it as "partial 23S ribosomal RNA". It matches the Rfam family "Bacterial large subunit ribosomal RNA", at positions 149 to 712 of the family's 2925-position model. Lineage: Bacteria; Pseudomonadati; Pseudomonadota; Gammaproteobacteria; Enterobacterales; Enterobacteriaceae. The record is from RNAcentral.
UAUCAUUAACUGAAUCCAUAGGUUAAUGAGGCGAACCGGGGGAACUGAAACAUCUAAGUACCCCGAGGAAAAGAAAUCAACCGAGAUUCCCCCAGUAGCGGCGAGCGAACGGGGAGGAGCCCAGAGCCUGAAUCAGUGUGUGUGUUAGUGGAAGCGUCUGGAAAGGCGCGCGAUACAGGGUGACAGCCCCGUACACAAAAAUGCACAUGCUGUGAGCUCGAUGAGUAGGGCGGGACACGUGGUAUCCUGUCUGAAUAUGGGGGGACCAUCCUCCAAGGCUAAAUACUCCUGACUGACCGAUAGUGAACCAGUACCGUGAGGGAAAGGCGAAAAGAACCCCGGCGAGGGGAGUGAAAAAGAACCUGAAACCGUGUACGUACAAGCAGUGGGAGCACAGAGCAAUCUGUGUGACUGCGUACCUUUUGUAUAAUGGGUCAGCGACUUAUAUUCUGUAGCAAGGUUAACCGAAUAGGGGAGCCGAAGGGAAACCGAGUCUUAACUGGGCGUUAAGUUGCAGGGUAUAG